AGUGAACGCUGGCGGCGUGUUUAAGGCAUGCAAGUCGAACGGCAACAGGUUUGUAGCAAUACAAAUGCUGGCGAGUGGCGGACGGGUGAGUAACGCGUAGGAAUCUACCUGGAGGUUGGGGAUAGCUCAGGGAAACCUGGGGUAAUACCCGAUGAUAACGAAAGUUCAAAGUGGCCUCAAAGCCACACCUUCGGAUGAGCCUGCGACCCAUCAGGUAGUUGGCGGGGUAAAGGCCCACCAAGCCUAAGACGGGUAGCUGGUCUGAGAGGAUGAUCAGCCACAAGGGGACUGAGACACGGCCCCUACUCCUACGGGAGGCUG
This 321-nucleotide ribosomal RNA is filed under the name uncultured Spirochaetota bacterium. RNAcentral describes it as "bacterial SSU rRNA". It matches the Rfam family "Bacterial small subunit ribosomal RNA", at positions 29 to 351 of the family's 1533-position model. The record is from RNAcentral. Lineage: Bacteria; Pseudomonadati; Spirochaetota.